This 467-nucleotide ribosomal RNA is filed under the name uncultured bacterium. RNAcentral describes it as "partial 16S ribosomal RNA". It matches the Rfam family "Bacterial small subunit ribosomal RNA", at positions 28 to 506 of the family's 1533-position model. The record is from RNAcentral.
GACGAACGCUGGCGGCAUGCUUAACACAUGCAAGUCGAACGGAACGUCCCUGCCUUUGUGGGGUGCUCGAGUUGCGACCGGGUGAGUAACACGUGGGUUACCUGUCAUUGACUUUGGGAUGUCUUCAGGACACUUGGGCUAAUACCGGCUAGGAGCUCCUGCUGCUUGGUGGGGGCUGGAAAGUUUCGGCGGUUGGGGAUGGAUUCGCGCCUUAUCAGCUUGUUGGUGGGGUAGUGUCUUACCAAGGCUUGGACCGAUAGCUGGCCUGAGAGGGAGACCGGCCACAUAGGGACGGAGAUACGGCCCAGACUCCUACGGAAGGCAGGAGGGGGGAAUAUAUAACGAUGGGCGGACGCCUGAUGCAGCAACGCCGGGUGCGGGAGGACGGCAUGCGUGUUGGAAGCCGCUUUCGCCUGCGACGAAGCGUGAGUGAAGGAAAGGGAUAAUGAAGCACCGGCUAACUACUU